This 1609-nucleotide long non-coding RNA is filed under the name Chrysemys picta bellii (western painted turtle). RNAcentral's name for it is "lncRNA (ENSCPBG00000013481.1)". Lineage: Eukaryota; Metazoa; Chordata; Testudines; Emydidae. The record is from RNAcentral.
GGAAGGAAGGUGACUGCAAGGGAAUAAGGAUGAUCUUGAGGUACAGGAUGAGGUGGUAGGAGAUCUGGUUUCUGUCCCCAGCUCUGUCCUUAGCACGUGGCUUUGGAUGAGUCAGUUAGCCUCUUUGUGUCCCAGUGUCAUCUUCUGUACAAUAGUGAUGCUUGUUCUUGCCUGCCUCUCCAAGUUACUGUGAGGAAACUUGGUAAUGUCCAAGGGGUGUUCAAAUAGUAUGACAGUGAGUGCUCUGGGGGAGGGAUAGCUCAGUGGUUUGAGCAUUGGCCUGUUAAACCCAGGGUUGUGAGUUCAAUCCUUGAGGGGGCCAUUUAGGGAUCUGGGGCAAAAAUCUGUCAGGGAUGGGCUCUGCUUUAAGCAGGGGGUUGGACUAGAUGACCUCCUGAGGUCCCUUCCAAUCCUGAUAUUCUAUAGAAAUGCCUGAAAGUUCAUUUAAAUGAAUGCUCCAGUGUCAGCUGGGGUGGAGUAUGGGCUGCAUCAGGAGGUUGCUGUCUCUUCCUUGGGAGCAUCACAUCUUUCCCUCUCCUUUUGGUUAAAAGGAAACCUCUUUCCACUAUUCCCCUCACUCACUCCACAAACAUGUAGUAGAUAUUCUACCAUACUCUUGGAAGCUGGAUCCCUACAUUCCCAAAGCUCUGGGGGGAGGUGUCAUAUCUGGGAUCUGGUUCAUCUCUGACCCUGACACUGCAUGGUGAUGGGUCAUACCACAGUGCCUAGAAAUAUCCAUGCAAUUAAUGCCCUGAUGCAAAGUCACGAAGUCAGGGCAUGAUUUUGUGACUCUCUGUAGUGCCAUUCAGCAGCAGGGGCAGGGGUGGGGGAACAGUGUUGUUGGGUAAAAUCUGUUUCUGACCUGUUUUAUGUAAUGUCCAUCUUGGAUUUGUAAAAGGACAGCUAAGCCUCCAUCUUGGAUACCCUUCUCCUCAGAUGAUUUAGUGCCCUUUCAGCCUUUUUCAAAUUAAGGUGGUCAGGGCAGUUAGAGUCAUGGGAUAGCCAUAAUCUGCCUAGCAAGCGCAGGUUAUUUAGUGAGUGGCACACCUGUCACUCAGGGCUGCCCAUCUGAGCGGCAGCCAGUGUCCCACACAGUUCAGCUAGCUGCCAGGAGCCCCAGAGGGACCAGGACUCAUAGGACUUUGGAUUCUUGGUCUCUAUUAACAUACUUGCACUCAACUGCUACACACCAUAGUGAACGCAUACUUGCACUGAACUACGAGGUCAAGCAGAGACUGCGUGGCCAAGUACUGAAGACCUACCUGAGGGAGAAGAUCUGCCCAAGAGGGAGAAGACCUGCCCAGAGGACCUGUCCAGAGAGAGAAGAAUACCCAGUUCCUGAGUUCCUGUUUGGUGUCCAGUGACCCUGAUUUUCACCACUAUCCCUGUCGGUAUCCUGAGUCUUUGUCGCUGUCUCUCUGUCUUCAGGAUAUGGUAUUGUAAUACCCAUUGUGGUUUUCCUCUGUUUUACAUCCAUAGGUUAAGGGGGUUUAAGGGCUCUGGUAACUGUUAACAACCGAGUGUGUCUUGCUUAUGUUGUUUAUUGUCUGAAGGAGUCCUUGUCUAGUAGCAUAAUAAAUAUUGGUGUGUUACAUCUUAUUCUGCUUCU